GACGGAGCGCGCCAGCGGUGUUCGGAAUUACUGGGCGUAAAGCGCACGUAGGCGGAUUGCUAAGUCAGGGGUGAAAUCCCGGGGCUCAACCUCGGAACUGCCUUUGAUACUGACAAUCUCGAGUCCGAGAGAGGUGGGUGGAAUUCCUAGUGUAGAGGUGAAAUUCGUAGAUAUUAGGAAGAACACCGGUGGCGAAGGCGGCCCACUGGCUCGGUACUGACGCUGAGGUGCGAAAGCGUGGGGAGCAAACAGG
RNAcentral lists this unclassified non-coding RNA (253 nucleotides) under uncultured Alphaproteobacteria bacterium. RNAcentral's name for it is "contains 16S-23S intergenic spacer region". It matches the Rfam family "Bacterial small subunit ribosomal RNA", at positions 524 to 776 of the family's 1533-position model. Lineage: Bacteria; Pseudomonadati; Pseudomonadota; Alphaproteobacteria. The record is from RNAcentral.